UUGGAGGGCAAGUCUGGUGCCAGCAGCCGCGGUAAUUCCAGCUCCAAUAGCGUACAUUAAAGUUGUUGCAGUUAAAAAGCUCGUAGUUGAAUUUCGGGGUUAGUAGGUUGGUCAUGCCUCUGGUAUGUACUGAUCUCACUGAUUCCUCCUUCCUUAUGAACCGUAAUGCCAUUAAUUUGGUGUUGCGGGGAAUUUGGACUGUUACUUUGAAAAAAUUAGAGUGUUUAAAGCAGGCUAACGCUUGAAUACAUUAGCAUGGAAUAAUGAAAUAGGACGUUCGAUCUUAUUUUGUUGGUUUCUAGGAUUGACGUAAUGAUUAAUAGGGAUAGUUGGGGGCAUUAGUAUUCAAUUGUCAGAGGUGAAAUUCUUGGAUUUAUUGAAGACUAACUACUGCGAGAGCAUUUGCCAAGGAUGUUUUCAUUAAUCAAGAACGAAAGUUAGGGGAUCGAAGACGAUCAGAUACCGUCGUAGUCUUAACCAUAAACUAUGCCGACUAGGGAUCGGAUGAUGUUAAUUUUUUAAUGACUCAUUCGGCGCCUUACGGGAAAC
This 549-nucleotide ribosomal RNA is filed under the name uncultured fungus. RNAcentral's name for it is "SSU rRNA". It matches the Rfam family "Eukaryotic small subunit ribosomal RNA", at positions 548 to 1098 of the family's 1831-position model. Lineage: Eukaryota; Fungi. The record is from RNAcentral.